This 1062-nucleotide ribosomal RNA is filed under the name uncultured marine bacterium. RNAcentral's name for it is "bacterial SSU rRNA". It matches the Rfam family "Bacterial small subunit ribosomal RNA", at positions 57 to 1124 of the family's 1533-position model. The record is from RNAcentral.
GCAGUCGAGGGGCAUCUCUUCCUUCGGGAAGAAGCGACCGGCGAACGGGUGCGUAACACGUAUGCAACCUACCCUAUACAGGGAGAUAGCCCGGAGAAAUCCGGAUUAAUACCCCAUAUUACAUUUUACUGCAUGGUAGAAUGUUGAAAGCUGAGGCGGUAUAGGAUGGGCAUGCGUCCCAUUAGCUAGUUGGUGAGGUAAAGGCUCACCAAGGCGACGAUGGGUAGGGGGCCUGAGAGGGUGAUCCCCCACACUGGUACUGAGACACGGACCAGACUCCUACGGGAGGCAGCAGUAAGGAAUAUUGGUCAAUGGGCGCAAGCCUGAACCAGCCAUGCCGCGUGCAGGAAGACGGCCCUACGGGUUGUAAACUGCUUUUAUACGGGAAGAACUCCCCCUACGUGUAGGGGGCUGACGGUACCGUAAGAAUAAGGAUCGGCUAACUCCGUGCCAGCAGCCGCGGUAAUACGGAGGAUCCAAGCGUUAUCCGGAUUCAUUGGGUUUAAAGGGUGCGUAGGCGGUGCGUUAAGUCAGGGGUGAAAUUUGGCAGCUCAACUGUCAAACUGCCUUUGAUACUGGCGCGCUUGAAUGUGAUUGAGGUAGGCGGAAUGCGGCAUGUAGCGGUGAAAUGCGUAGAUAUGCCGCAGAACACCAAUAGCGAAGGCAGCUUACCAAGUCAUGAUUGACGCUGAUGCACGAAAGCGUGGGUAGCGAACAGGAUUAGAUACCCUGGUAGUCCACGCUGUAAACGAUGAUAACUCGACGUUAGCGAUACACAGUUAGCGUCCAAGCGAAAGCGUUAAGUUAUCCACCUGGGGAGUACGAUCGCAAGGUUGAAACUCAAAGGAAUUGACGGGGGCCCGCACAAGCGGUGGAGCAUGUGGUUUAAUUCGAUGAUACGCGAGGAACCUUACCAGGGCUUAAAUGGGGAACGACGUUUUGGGAAACCAGAAUUUCUUCGGACGGUCCUCAAGGUGCUGCAUGGUUGUCGUCAGCUCGUGCCGUGAGGGGGUUGGGUUAAGUCCCGCAACGAGCGCAACCCCUACUGUUAGUUGCCAACGG